This 253-nucleotide ribosomal RNA is filed under the name uncultured bacterium. Its description in RNAcentral is "partial 16S ribosomal RNA". It matches the Rfam family "Bacterial small subunit ribosomal RNA", at positions 524 to 776 of the family's 1533-position model. The record is from RNAcentral.
UACGGGGGGGGCAAGCGUUGUUCGGAAUUACUGGGCGUAAAGGGCCAGUAGGCGGCCAACUAAGUCGGAUGUGAAAUCCCCAGGCUCAACCUGGGAACUGCAUCCGAUACUGGAUGGCUUGAAUUCGGGAGAGGGAUGCAGAAUUCCAGGUGUAGCGGUGAAAUGCGUAGAUAUCUGGAGGAAUACCGGUGGCGAAGGCGGCAUCCUGGACCGACAUUGACGCUGAGGCGCGAAGGCUAGGGGAGCGAACGGG